This 492-nucleotide ribosomal RNA is filed under the name uncultured bacterium. Its description in RNAcentral is "partial 16S ribosomal RNA". It matches the Rfam family "Bacterial small subunit ribosomal RNA", at positions 29 to 507 of the family's 1533-position model. The record is from RNAcentral.
AGUGAACGCUGGCGGUAGGCCUAACACAUGCAAGUCGAACGGCAACACAGUAAGAGCUUGCUCUUACGGGUGGCGAGUGGCGGGCGGGUGAGGAAUACAUCGGAAUCUACUUUUUCGUGGGGGAUCACGUAGGGAAACUUACGCUAAUACCGCAUACGACCUACGGGUGAAAGCAGGGGCUCUUCGGCCCUUGCGCGAUUGAAUGAGCCGAUGUCGGAUUAGCUAGUUGGCGGGGUAAAGGCCCACCAAGGCGACGAUCCGUAGCUGGUCUGAGAGGAUGAUCAGCCACACUGGAACUGAGACACGGUCCAGACUCCUACGGGAGGCAGCAGUGGGGAAUAUUGGACAAUGGGCGCAAGCCUGAUCCAGCCAUACCGCGUGGGUGAAGAAGGCCUUCGGGUUGUAAAGCACUUUUGUUGGGAAAGAAAAGCAGCAGGUUAAUACCCCGCUGUUCUGACGGUACCCAAAGAAUAAGCACCGGCUAACUUCGUG